GAUGAAGAACGCAGUGAAAUGCGAUAAGUAAUGUGAAUUGCAGAAUUCAGUGAAUCAUCGAAUCUUUGAACGCACCUUGCGCUCUUUGGUAUUCCGAAGAGCAUGCCUGUUUGAGUGUCAUGAAAAUAUCAACCUUGACUUGGGUUUUGUGCUCUAGUCUCGGCUUGGAAUUGGGUGCUUGCCGCUUUUACGAGCGGCUCACCUUAAAUGUAUUAGCUGGAUCUGUCUUUGAGACUUGGUUUGACUUGGCGUAAUAAGUAUUUCGCUAAGGACAUUCUUCGGAGUGGCCUCGUUUCUAGGACGCUUGUCCGCUUUCCAAUACAAGUUCCACCUCGUGGACAUGACUUUUUAUUAUCUGGCCUCAAAUCAGGUAGGACUACCCGCUGAACUUAAGCAUAUUCAAUAAGCGGAGGA
RNAcentral lists this unclassified non-coding RNA (414 nucleotides) under soil metagenome. RNAcentral's name for it is "partial contains 5.8S ribosomal RNA, internal transcribed spacer 2, and large subunit ribosomal RNA". The stretch from base 1 to 120 matches the Rfam family "5.8S ribosomal RNA", at positions 35 to 154 of the family's 154-position model. The record is from RNAcentral.